GACGAACGCUGGCGGCGUGCUUAACACAUGCAAGUCGAACGGAAAGGCCCUGCUUUUUUGGGGUGCUCGAGUGGCGAACGGGUGAGUAACACGUGAGUAACCUGCCCUUGACUUUGGGAUAACUUCAGGAAACUGGGGCUAAUACCGGAUAGCAGCUCCUGCUGCAUGGUGGGGGUUGGAUAGUUUAGGCGGGUGGGGAUGGACUGGCGGGUUAUCAGCUUGUUGGUUGGGUAGUGGCUUACCCAGGCUUUGAAGGGUAGCCCGCCUGAGAGGGUGACCGGGGACAUUGGGACUGAGAGACGGCCCAGACGGCAACGGGAGGCAGCGGUGGGGAAUAUUGCACAAUGAGCGGACGCCUGAUGCAGCAACGCUGCGUGCGGGAUGACGGCCUUCGGGGAGUGAACCGCUGUCGCCUGUGACGAAGCGUGAGUGACGGUAAUGGGAAAAGAAGCACCGGCUAACUACGUG
RNAcentral lists this ribosomal RNA (468 nucleotides) under uncultured bacterium. RNAcentral describes it as "partial 16S ribosomal RNA". It matches the Rfam family "Bacterial small subunit ribosomal RNA", at positions 28 to 507 of the family's 1533-position model. The record is from RNAcentral.